CCAGAGAGCCUAGUGUCCCGUUUAUGUGAGUCUUAAGAGGGUUUGUAGUGCUGCUGACACUCAGCUACAGAUUUUCUAUGCAGCUUUGGACCAGGUUUAUCAUGGAAUACCACAAUACAGAUCAAGCACUGACAUCCUAGAAAUACAGGAGAAAUUUUAUGGGUUACCAUAUGUUAAUGACACAGCUUGGCAGCUGAGAUUUAGUCACCUGGUUGGCUAUGGUGCUAAAUAUUACUCCUACCUCAUGUCCAGGGCGGUUGCCUCGAUGGUGUGGAGGCAGUGCUUUCUACAGGACCCCUUCAGCAGGUCAGUGUGGAGUUUUCAACUCCAACUCCUGACCAUAGCGAUGGGAGAGCGUUACCGCAGA
Molecule: long non-coding RNA, 367 nt
Organism: Sinocyclocheilus rhinocerous
Lineage: Eukaryota; Metazoa; Chordata; Actinopteri; Cypriniformes; Cyprinidae
Exons: 4
Source: RefSeq, a predicted model, not a curated record